RNAcentral lists this ribosomal RNA (481 nucleotides) under uncultured bacterium. RNAcentral's name for it is "partial 16S ribosomal RNA". It matches the Rfam family "Bacterial small subunit ribosomal RNA", at positions 28 to 507 of the family's 1533-position model. The record is from RNAcentral.
GAUGAACGCUGGCGGCGUGCUUAACACAUGCAAGUCGAACGAAGCAUUUAAGACAGAUUACUUCGGUUUGAAGUCUUUUAUGACUGAGUGGCGGACGGGUGAGUAACGCGUGGGUAACCUGCCUCAUACAGGGGGAUAGCAGCUGGAAACGGCUGGUAAUACCGCAUAAGCGCACAGUACCACAUGGUACAGUGUGAAAAACUCCGGUGGUAUGAGAUGGGCCCGCGUCUGAUUAGCUUGUUGGCGGGGUAACGGCCCACCAAGGCGACGAUCAGUAGCCGACCUGAGAGGGUGACCGGCCACAUUGGGACUGAGACACGGCCCAGACUCCUACGGGAGGCAGCAGUGGGGAAUAUUGCACAAUGGAGGAAACUCUGAUGCAGCGACGCCGCGUGAGUGAAGAAGUAGUUCGCUAUGUAAAGCUCUAUCAGCAGGGAAGAUAGUGACGGUACCUGACUAAGAAGCUCCGGCUAAAUACGUG